Molecule: RNA transcript, 292 nt
Organism: Phascolarctos cinereus (koala)
Lineage: Eukaryota; Metazoa; Chordata; Mammalia; Diprotodontia; Phascolarctidae
Gene name: alpha-2B adrenergic receptor
Source: RefSeq, a predicted model, not a curated record
AUGGAGGAGGAGGAGGAGUUACUGAGUGAGAGUGAUGUGGACCCUGCUUCUAGGAAGUGGGCAGGACAAAGAAAGAAUCCACCCUAUUAAUUUUUCUCCACAUCACCUUCCAUUUGCAGACACUAUUGUCCAUGGGUCAGAGGGACACAGGAUGACAGGAAGCAUCACAGGGCUGCCUUUCAGAGGACCACCAAACCUGAUUGGAGCUGGAGGUACAGAGAUGCAGCCUUAUCCAAUCUCCAGCAUCAGCAGAGCCAUCAAAGUCCAGGGGCAAGACAAAAGUCAAGAUGAU